RNAcentral lists this ribosomal RNA (520 nucleotides) under uncultured Paraglomus. RNAcentral's name for it is "SSU rRNA". It matches the Rfam family "Eukaryotic small subunit ribosomal RNA", at positions 569 to 1092 of the family's 1831-position model. The record is from RNAcentral. Lineage: Eukaryota; Fungi; Glomeromycota; Glomeromycetes; Paraglomerales; Paraglomeraceae.
CGCAGCCGCGGUAAUUCCAGCUCCAAUAGCGUAUAUUAAAGUUGUUGCAGUUAAAAAGCUCGUAGUUGAACUUCAGGCCUGGCUGGACGGUCCGCCCUCUGGGUGAGCACUGUCUGUGGUCGGGUCCUACCUUCUGGCGAAGCGGCAUGGCCUUAACCGGCCGUGGCGGGGAACCAGGACUUUUACUGUGAAAAAAUUAGAGUGUUCAAAGCAGGCACGCGCUUGGAUACAUUAGCAUGGAAUAAUGGAAUAGGACAAUGGUUCUAUUUGUUGGUUUCUAGGACCGUUGUAAUGAUUAAUAGGGAUAGUUGGGGGCGAUUAGUAUUCAAUUGUCAGAGGUGAAAUUCUUGGAUUUAUUGAAGACUAACUACUGCGAAAGCAUUUGCCAAGGAUGUUUUCAUUAAUCAAGAACGAAAGUUAGGGGAUCGAAGACGAUCAGAUACCGUCGUAGUCUUAACCAUAAACUAUGCCGACUAGGAAUCGGGCGAUGUUGACAAAAUGACGCGCUCGGCACCUCAUA